AACGAACGCUGGCGGCAUGCCUAACACAUGCAAGUCGAACGAGACCUUCGGGACUAGUGGCGCACGGGUGCGUAACGCGUGGGAACCUGCCCUUAGGUUCGGAAUAACUCCCCGAAAGGGGUGCUAAUAUCGGAUAAUGUCUUCGGACCAAAGAUUUAUCGCCUUUGGAUGGGCCCGCGUUGGAUUAGCCAGUUGGUAGGGUAAAAGCCUACCAAGGUGACGAUCCAUAGCUGGUCUGAGAGGAUGAUCAGCCACACUGGGACUGAGACACGGCCCAGACUCCUACGGGAGGCAGCAGUGGCGAAUAUUGGACAAUGGGCGAAAGCCUGAUGCAGCAAGGCCGCGUAAGUGAUGAAGGCCUUAGGGAAGUAAAGCUCGUUUACCCGGGAUGAUAAUGACAGUACCGGGAGAAUAAGCUCCGGCUAACUCCGUG
RNAcentral lists this ribosomal RNA (433 nucleotides) under uncultured bacterium. Its description in RNAcentral is "partial 16S ribosomal RNA". It matches the Rfam family "Bacterial small subunit ribosomal RNA", at positions 29 to 507 of the family's 1533-position model. The record is from RNAcentral.